UCUCCUGGAAACGGGUGGUAAUGCCGGAUGCUCCAGUUGAUCGCAUGGUCUUCUGGGAAAGCUUUCGCGGUAUGGGAUGGGGUCGCGUCCUAUCAGCUUGACGGCGGGGUAACGGCCCACCGUGGCUUCGACGGGUAGCCGGCCUGAGAGGGCGACCGGCCACAUUGGGACUGAGAUACGGCCCAGACUCCUACGGGAGGCAGCAGUGGGGAAUAUUGCACAAUGGGCGCAAGCCUGAUGCAGCGACGCCGCGUGAGGGAUGGAGGCCUUCGGGUUGUAAACCUCUUUUAUCGGGGAGCAAGCGAGAGUGAGUUUACCCGUUGAAUAAGCACCGGCUAACUACGUGCCAGCAGCCGCGGUAAUACGUAGGGUGCAAGCGUUAUCCGGAAUUAUUGGGCGUAAAGGGCUCGUAGGCGGUUCGUCGCGUCCGGUGUGAAAGUCCAUCGCUUAACGGUGGAUCCGCGCCGGGUACGGGCGGGCUUGAGUGCGGUAGGGGAGACU
Molecule: ribosomal RNA, 501 nt
Filed under: Bifidobacterium longum subsp. infantis
Lineage: Bacteria; Bacillati; Actinomycetota; Actinomycetes; Bifidobacteriales; Bifidobacteriaceae
Description: bacterial SSU rRNA
Rfam family: Bacterial small subunit ribosomal RNA
Source: RNAcentral